UUUUUCUUGCAAAUCAGACAUGAAAAUUUUGUAGUGUCCUGAUCAUUCCGUUUGUGCUCCAUUUGAAAUUCAGCUCUUGAUUUGCUUAUCAUCUGAAUACAGGUGGAGGAUUGGGUUUGUUUAAACUUUGAUUAAGUGACAGUGACUUGAUUGUAUUGAGAUUGCAGCUCAGGGAUUGUGGGUUUGUUUAUCUUCUGAAUUCAAUUCUGGAGAUAGCUGCAUGAAACGUGAUCCACCCGUUUUCCAGCU
RNAcentral lists this small RNA (249 nucleotides) under Oryza sativa Japonica Group (Japanese rice). Its description in RNAcentral is "misc RNA P0637D03.44-1". Lineage: Eukaryota; Viridiplantae; Streptophyta; Magnoliopsida; Poales; Poaceae. The record is from RNAcentral.